UGCCCGAUCGUCUAAUGGUAGGACAACGGUUUCUGGUACCGUUUAUUGGGGUUCGAGUCCCUGUCGGGCAG
RNAcentral lists this transfer RNA (71 nucleotides) under Minisyncoccota bacterium. RNAcentral describes it as "tRNA-Gln". It matches the Rfam family "tRNA". From Rfam's summary of the family: Transfer RNA (tRNA) molecules are approximately 80 nucleotides in length. Their secondary structure includes four short double-helical elements and three loops (D, anti-codon, and T loops). The record is from RNAcentral. Lineage: Bacteria; Bacillati; Minisyncoccota.